UUUAUGCUUAUUCCGUCCAACAAAGAAUGUCUCAGUUUUGACUAAAUUUGAAUGCACCAAGUUUGUCAAAAUUUGGAUGUAUCUAGACAUGACUUAGUGUAUAGAUGCAUUUAAAUUUACUCAAAGUUGAGACAUCCUUUGUUGGACAGAGGGAGUACUAA
This is a non-coding RNA of Brachypodium distachyon (stiff brome), 161 nucleotides long. Lineage: Eukaryota; Viridiplantae; Streptophyta; Magnoliopsida; Poales; Poaceae. The record is from Rfam.